ACAUUGCUAUGAUGAUAUAUAAUUUACAGCUUUAAACGCCAGUUCUGCUUCAGAAAAUUCGUGAUUGAUAAGCUGCUAUAUAUAUACUGAGCUUUUA
Small nucleolar RNA from Impatiens glandulifera, 97 nucleotides. Lineage: Eukaryota; Viridiplantae; Streptophyta; Magnoliopsida; Ericales; Balsaminaceae. The record is from RefSeq and is a predicted model, not a curated record.